CCUACGGGAGGCAGCAGUGAGGAAUAUUGGUCAAUGGGCGCAAGCCUGAACCAGCCAAGUAGCGUGAAGGAUGACUGCCCUACGGGUUGUAAACUUCUUUUAUAAAGGAAUACAGUGAGGCACGUGUUCCUUUCUGUAUGUACUUUACGAAUAAGGAUCGGCUAACUCCGUGCCAGCAGCCGCGGUAAUACGGAGGAUCCAAGCGUUAUCCGGAUUUAUUGGGUUUAAAGGGAGCGUAGGUGGGUUGUUAAGUCAGUUGUGAAAGUUUGCGGCUUAACCGUGGAAUUGCAUUUGAUACUGGCUGUCUUGAGUACAGUUGAGGGAGGCGGAAUUCGUGGUGUAGCGGUGAAAUGCUUAGAUAUCACGAAGAACACCGAUUGCGAAGGCAGCCUACUAAACUGCCACUGACAUUGAGGCUCGAAAGUGUGGGUAUCAAACAGGAUUAGAUACCCGUGUAGUC
Molecule: ribosomal RNA, 460 nt
Filed under: uncultured bacterium
Lineage: Bacteria
Description: partial 16S ribosomal RNA
Rfam family: Bacterial small subunit ribosomal RNA
Source: RNAcentral